RNAcentral lists this ribosomal RNA (629 nucleotides) under uncultured Bacteroidales bacterium. RNAcentral's name for it is "bacterial SSU rRNA". It matches the Rfam family "Bacterial small subunit ribosomal RNA", at positions 88 to 715 of the family's 1533-position model. The record is from RNAcentral. Lineage: Bacteria; Pseudomonadati; Bacteroidota; Bacteroidia; Bacteroidales.
GUGGCGACCGGCGCACGGGUGAGUAACGCGUAUGCAACCUACCUAUCAGAGGGGAAUAACCCGGCGAAAGUCGGACUAAUACCGCAUAAAACAGGGACACCGCAUGGUGAUAUUUGUUAAAGAAAUUCGCUGAUAGACGGGCAUGCGUUCCAUUAGGUAGUUGGUGAGGUAACGGCUCACCAAGCCGACGAUGGAUAGGGGAACUGAGAGGUUGGUCCCCCACAUUGGUACUGAGACACGGACCAGACUCCUACGGGAGGCAGCAGUGAGGAAUAUUGGUCAAUGGGCGAGAGCCUGAACCAGCCAAGUCGCGUGAAGGAAGAAGGAUCUAUGGUUCGUAAACUUCUUUUGCAGGGGAAUAAAGUGCGGGACGUGUCCUGUUUUGUAUGUACCCUGAGAAUAAGGAUCGGCUAACUCCGUGCCAGCAGCCGCGGUAAUACGGAGGAUCCGAGCGUUAUCCGGAUUUAUUGGGUUUAAAGGGUGCGUAGGUGGUUUUAUAAGUCAGCGGUGAAAGUUUGCAGCUUAACUGUAAAAAUGCCGUUGAAACUGUAAGACUUGAGUGUAAAUGAGGUAGGCGGAAUGCGUGGUGUAGCGGUGAAAUGCAUAGAUAUCACGAAGAACUCCGAUUG